UGUUGGGUUAAGUCCCGCAACGAGCGCAACCCUCGCCCUUAGUUGCCAGCAUUUAGUUGGGCACUCUAAGGGGACUGCCGGUGAUAAGCCGAGAGGAAGGUGGGGAUGACGUCAAGUCCUCAUGGCCCUUACGGGCUGGGCUACACACGUGCUACAAUGGUGGUGACAGUGGGCAGCGAGCACGCGAGUGUGAGCUAAUCUCCAAAAGCCAUCUCAGUUCGGAUUGCACUCUGCAACUCGAGUGCAUGAAGUUGGAAUCGCUAGUAAUCGCGGAUCAGCAUGCCGCGGUGAAUACGUUCCCGGGCCUU
RNAcentral lists this ribosomal RNA (308 nucleotides) under uncultured Ochrobactrum sp. Its description in RNAcentral is "bacterial SSU rRNA". It matches the Rfam family "Bacterial small subunit ribosomal RNA", at positions 1073 to 1382 of the family's 1533-position model. The record is from RNAcentral. Lineage: Bacteria; Pseudomonadati; Pseudomonadota; Alphaproteobacteria; Hyphomicrobiales; Brucellaceae.